AAAUUUUUAUUUUACUUUUAAAAAAGUGAAAUUAAGAGUUGAUUACUUAAAAAAAAAGAUAAAAUCAACAAACUUUUCUCUGGACUAAUUAGGAAAUCUAAAGAGAAAACUUAAAUUUGUAAAUUCACAGAUGAGAAAGACUGCUGGGCCGUGGUGGCACACGCCCUUAGUCCCAGCACUCAGGAAGCAGGACAAGUGUGUUUCCAUGAGGUUGAGGCCAGCCGUGUCUACAGACUGAGUUCUAGAACAGUUACAGCUACACAGAGAAGCCACAAACCCUGUCUCAAAAAAACAAAAACAAAAACAAAAACAACAACAACAAAAAAAACCAAAGAACAGAAAACAAACAAAAACAAAACUAGAGAGAAAGAGAGAGAGACAGAGACAAAGACACAGAGAGACAAAGAGAGAGGGGGGAUAUUGCAGCUGAUACCACAGUACUAUGAAGGAUCUUAAGAGAUCAUCAUGAACAGUUGUACACUAAGAAGUUGGAAAACCUAGAAGAAAAUCAUAUAUCCCUGGUCUUAAACAGCCUGUUAGCAUUGAAUCACAACAAAGUGUAUAAGAUAUCUGAACAGACCAGUAAUGAACAAAGACAGUGAUUCAAUAAUGUCUCUCUUAAAACAAAACAAAACAAAACAACUUAGAAUCUGAUGAUACCACUGCCAAAUUCUACAGACCAUUUCACUUACUCUGAUAUUCCAUAUUUGCCUUUAAAUAAAAUCUUAUUUUAGCAAGAUCAUAUUUACUUUUAAAGAAAACUUAAUAUCACUUGAUUACUAGAAAGUUUAUUUCACCUACUACACACAGGGGGAAACAAAGAAAGUAGAAUGCCAUUAAGGUAUAUAAAAUUACCCAUUGAAGACUUGCGACCUAAAGUAUUUUUUAUCUUUUAUUUUUUUUAGAAAUGCAAGAGCAGGAAUAAAUUCAUUGCUGCUGCUAGCUUGAGGCACUCUCCUGUAUAAGACAGUGGAACGAGAAUUCAACUGAGUGCUAGCUAUGAAUGAGUCACAUAAAUUCUGAAAGAACUGGUUCAUUCUUUUAUUGAUCAAUAAUUUUGGCUCUUGUCCUCAGGUACUCUGGUGUUGUAGAUCAUACUCUGUAUAGUCCUGAACAGUUGGAGGCAAACAGGUUCCACUGUGGUAUCUGCAGUGGGCAUUUCAUCAGAAUGGCUCAAGAUGAAAAUGUAAACUCUGCUGGCUGAAUUCUGGCAGAAGGCCUUUGGAUGAAGCAAGAUGUCUUGGUACACAUCAUCAUCCCAGGACUUGGGUGAUGGAGGUAAAAGGAUUUCAAGUUUGAAGCUGGCCUGGUCUACAUAGCAAGAGUCUGUCUCAAGAAAUCAAAAUCAACCAGCCAAGCAUGUUUUAUAUGCCCCAAAAGGGAAAACAUCUACCAAGGUUCUGUCUUUCUUUUCCCUCUCACUUACCCCCUCGAUGUGUGUGUGUGUGUGUGUGUGUGUGUGUUUCUGGGGAUCUGACACGGGGUCUUGGCCUAUCACUGAUAUUAUAGCCCUAGACCCACUGAGUUACAUCUCCAGUCCUGUUUUUAUUUUUUUUCCUACUUUUCUUGAGCAGCUGGGAGUGUAGAUCUGAGCUACCUGCCACCACCACGCUUGUCUGAGAACUCCUUUUUAUUAAAUUUAAAGCUCUUCCAAUUAUUGAAGGAUCAAUUCAGAUAUAAACCACAGCAGAAUACUGCCGAAGCAGUGUGUUCUGUUCGGUUAAAAAGGAAAAAGCAAAAAUACUUGGUGGAAGGGAUGGCUCAGUUCUGACCCUCAGCUAAGGUAAAUUCGAUUAGGCCAUGUUUUUUAAGGAACAUUUUUAUUUUCUGAGGUAACAUUUUUCUUAUCAGAUAUACCUCAGGACUAUGAACCAAUGGCAUAUGACAAAGAAUAAAAAAAAAAAACUUAGUGGUUUUUUUCCCUUUGGGGCACAUUAAAAAAUUAUAUUCCACUCUUUGUUUGGCUGGUUGAUUUUGGGAAGUGCUUCAAGGAGAAUUCCAGAUAAGAACACUUUUGCUAGAUCAAGCCAUCUUUACUUACAUUCUCCAUAGGAUGCAAGCUUACUGGCCUUUAUUCUACUUCUUCUUUGAGGAAUGAAACAUUUUGUCUGCUGAUGCUGCUUAAAAGUUGUCUAUUAGACAACCAGUCAGUGACCUGUCCUGUCUGCAGAAAGCCAGCUGAGAUCUGUAGUUCUGUCUCCAAGCAGGUGGGGAUAUGGUUGUCCUUUCAAUGCAUUGGCUAGAAGCUCCCCCUGCCAAGAACUGAACGCUUUAAUUCUGUGAUUCAUCAAAGCCGUUCCUUAUACCUGGUGUCAAGUAACCUUUCUUUUCAGGAGGUCUAACCCAAUAGCCUCCCAGACCUCAGGAUGAAAGCAGGCAGCGUGUACACUGUGUGCAAGAAGGACAAAGAAGAAACACACUCAAAGCCGAGCCCCAUGUUACAUAAUGCCUGUGUUUGAAGAUCCAUGACCCAUAAAACAUUUACCUACUUUGUGGGGUUUAAAUAAAGCAGAGUGGUGUUCCUUUUU
RNAcentral lists this long non-coding RNA (2528 nucleotides) under Mus musculus (house mouse). RNAcentral's name for it is "long non-coding RNA chr4:12013613-12016141". The record is from RNAcentral. Lineage: Eukaryota; Metazoa; Chordata; Mammalia; Rodentia; Muridae.